This 945-nucleotide ribosomal RNA is filed under the name Mycobacterium intracellulare. RNAcentral describes it as "bacterial SSU rRNA". It matches the Rfam family "Bacterial small subunit ribosomal RNA", at positions 69 to 1022 of the family's 1533-position model. Lineage: Bacteria; Bacillati; Actinomycetota; Actinomycetes; Mycobacteriales; Mycobacteriaceae. The record is from RNAcentral.
GAAAGGCCCCUUCGGGGGUACUCGAGUGGCGAACGGGUGAGUAACACGUGGGCAAUCUGCCCUGCACUUCGGGAUAAGCCUGGGAAACUGGGUCUAAUACCGGAUAGGACCUUUAGGCGCAUGUCUUUAGGUGGAAAGCUUUUGCGGUGUGGGAUGGGCCCGCGGCCUAUCAGCUUGUUGGUGGGGUGAUGGCCUACCAAGGCGACGACGGGUAGCCGGCCUGAGAGGGUGUCCGGCCACACUGGGACUGAGAUACGGCCCAGACUCCUACGGGAGGCAGCAGUGGGGAAUAUUGCACAAUGGGCGCAAGCCUGAUGCAGCGACGCCGCGUGGGGGAUGACGGCCUUCGGGUUGUAAACCUCUUUCACCAUCGACGAAGGUCCGGGUUUUCUCGGAUUGACGGUAGGUGGAGAAGAAGCACCGGCCAACUACGUGCCAGCAGCCGCGGUAAUACGUAGGGUGCGAGCGUUGUCCGGAAUUACUGGGCGUAAAGAGCUCGUAGGUGGUUUGUCGCGUUGUUCGUGAAAUCUCACGGCUUAACUGUGAGCGUGCGGGCGAUACGGGCAGACUAGAGUACUGCAGGGGAGACUGGAAUUCCUGGUGUAGCGGUGGAAUGCGCAGAUAUCAGGAGGAACACCGGUGGCGAAGGCGGGUCUCUGGGCAGUAACUGACGCUGAGGAGCGAAAGCGUGGGGAGCGAACAGGAUUAGAUACCCUGGUAGUCCACGCCGUAACGGUGGGUACUAGGUGUGGGUUUCCUUCCUUGGGAUCCGUGCCGUAGCUACGCAUUAAGUACCCCGCCUGGGGAGUACGGCCGCAAGGCUAAAACUCAAGGAUUGACGGGGCCCGCACAAGCGGCGGAGCAUGUGGAUUAAUUCGAUGCAACGCGAGAACCUUACCUGGGUUUGACAUGCACAGGACGCGUCUAGAGAUAGCGUCUGCUGUG